UUUAUAAAUAAUUAUAAUUUAUUUUAUUAUAAAAUUUUAUUUAAUUAAAAAAAUAUAUGAAAUUUUAAGAUUGUUUAUUUAUUCUUAAAGGAUUUUAAUAAUUCUCAGUAUUAAAUAUUAGAUAUUAAAGGAAUUUAGAUUUAAUUAUUAAUUUUAGUAUGAACAAAAUAUGUGCCAGCAGUUGCGGUUAAACAUAAUAUGCAAAUAAAAUAAAUUGGUAAGUAGUAUUAAAUAGUAGAUAUAAAUAAAUUUUUAAAUUUAAGGUAAAAUUUUAUUUAAAAUUAUAUUUAUAAUUAUUUUAUUCUAUUAAAUUUUAGUUUAAACUAGGAUUAGAUACCCUAUUAUAAAAAUUUAAAAUUAUUUACUAAAAUUAAUAGUUAUGUUCUUUAAAUUUAAAAAAUUUGGCGGUAUUUUAGUCUUAUUAGAGGAACCUGUUUUUUAAUUGAUAAUCCACGAUUAAUUUUACUUAUUUUAAAAAUUUAUAUAUCGCUGUCAUGAAUAUAUUUAAAAAAUUUAUUUUCUUUAAUUAAUUUAUUAAUUUAUGUUAAGUCAAGAUGUAGUUUAUAAAUAAAAAAAUAAUGGGUUACAUUAAAUUAUAUUUUUGGAUUUAAAAUGAAAAUAAAUAUGAAAUUGAAUUUAAUAGUAAAUUUAUUUAUUUAAAUAAUAUGAAUAUAGAUCUAAAAUAUGUACAUAUUGCCCGUCAUUCUUAUAAAAAAUAAGACAAGUCGUAACAAAGUAAAUGUACUGGAAAGUGUAUUUAGAAAG
This 765-nucleotide non-coding RNA is filed under the name Mindarus keteleerifoliae. The record is from RNAcentral. Lineage: Eukaryota; Metazoa; Arthropoda; Insecta; Hemiptera; Mindaridae.